RNA transcript from Drosophila rhopaloa, 1857 nucleotides. It is a transcript of the gene named synaptic vesicle glycoprotein 2B, with no coding region annotated. The record is from RefSeq and is a predicted model, not a curated record. The transcript is spliced from 6 exons. NCBI's taxonomy places the organism in Eukaryota, Metazoa, Arthropoda, Insecta, Diptera, Drosophilidae.
GUCGUUCUCAGUAUAUAUUUUAUAAUGCUUUAUGUUCGUUUUACAACGUUAUUGUAAUACGCUUUCAAAAUGCCGGCAAUGGAUGUGGACACCGCCCUGCAGACCAUUGGCUAUGGCUGUGGUCAGGUGAUAAUCUUCGCGGUGAGCUUCUUUAUUUACAUGUAUUCCGUUGCCGAGUCCAUGAGUGUGUCCUAUAUCGUGGUGCUGACUUCCUGCGAGUUCGCCACCACCAAAGAGGAGAAGACCCUUCUGGCCGACUCCCUGCUGGGUGGAAUGGUUGUCUCCGGGCUGUUCAUUGGAUUCCUGGCGGACAAGUACGGUCGGAAGUACAUUCUCCGCUUGGCGUUGAUAGGAGCACUGGGCUUCUCUUCAAUCUCCGCUUUAAUGCCGGAGCUCUAUUCGCUGUCUGUGCUUCGGAUGGUCGUGGGAGUCUUUCUCUCCGCCGUUGCUUCCUUACAGGUGGGCUUCCUCACCGAGUUCCAUUCACCCAACUGGCGACCAUUGGUGGUCACCCUUUGCGGCCAAUCGGUGAGCACGGCCCUGAUCUUCUGUCCCCUGAUGGCCAUGGCCAUCCUGCACGAGGACUUCAGCGUGACCAUUAGCAGCGACUACGACAUGCGCCCCUGGCGCUUCCUCAUGCUGGCCGUCCAGAUUCCCGGCUGGUUGGCUCUCCUCGGGAUCUGCUUGGUGCCGGACACUCCCUACUUCUACAUGUCCGUGGGCCGCGAUGAUAAGGCCAUCCUGGCCCUCCAAUGGGUGUGCCGGAUGAACCGGAAGAAGUGGGAGGACUUCGAUAUAUCAGGUCUGACUGAAGAGCGCCGCAAUUCAGUCGAGGAUGGGGGAUUUUUUAAGAAUAUGUGGUCCGAGAGCAUCCGGCUGUUCCAGAGGCCUUACGUAUACAUUGUUGUCAUGAGUCUGUUGCUCAUUUUUGGGCUAUUUUUCACCUCCAUUGGCCUGGGCAUCUGGUUUCCGGUUAUACGCAACAUGGACAACUCAGGCAAACACCGACUGUGCAACCUGGUUCGACAUAACCCACUAUUUCACAAGCAUAAAGUCCAUAUAAUCAAUGGCACAGAGGUUCCAGAACCGUACCACUGUGACGACGUGAUGACCAACCUGAUCGAUCCCAUUUACUACGGCCUCGCCUACUUCUUUUGUUACAUACUGUCCUCGCUUUUGCUGCAGUGCCUCAUCCGGAAGUACGUCAUUGCGCUGCACAUUGGAGUGGCUUUUAUCCUGGGCGUGACGCUUAAUUGGAUGAGGCAGCCGACUAUUGUGCUGAUCUGCUUCACCGGCAUGAUGGUCCUGCCGGGGGUCCUGAUCCCGCUGGCCUCCUCGGUCCUGAUCGACGCCCUACCAAUUCACCUGCGAGGAAAGGCUCUGUGCAUGGUGCGAUCCUUGGCGAGACUGGGAGCUGUUGGUGGAAGCACCUUGGUGGGACUGCUGAUAAGGGUCUCCUGCGAUGUCACCCUCAACGUAUUCAACUUCUAUCUGAUUGUUUGCUUCAUUUUGGCCAUGUUUUUACCGAAAUAAACCCAGGGUAGUCUUGUGUUGCAUAUUCUUAUCCAAAUUUGUAAGUGAUGCUAUAGAUAUGGUUUUGUGAACUGCCGCUGAAUGUUAUCGCUACCUCUCUGCGAAAUGGUUAUUGGAGCCUUCAAAAGACUGGAAUUAUAAUAGCUAAAGUCCGUUGAGCUCUUAAACUUUUACCAAGAGGGUCUUGAGUUCACUUGGUGACACAACUGUCAGAACUCAGCGUUACAUUAAAUAUCUACUUGUGGUCUGCUGAUAGAUCCACUGGAAGCAGCUUUGUAAUCUUGUGCACUUUUGAAUAUCUUUAAUAAAGGAAUUCACUAUGAA